AUGAAGGCAACAGUAAAAUCCUCCGGAUCAGAACUCCCAGGUGACCCUCCGAAGUAGAAGACUCACUGGCCUACAUGCUGAAGCUGUGAGUUUGCAAACUGCAUUUGCCAAGCACCCUGGCCAGUGGGUUUCCUAUUAGAUUCAGACAGUGAGAGGUGCUGGCUGCAGACUGCCCGGCAGGGGAGAGAAACAGGAGGUCUGUGCCUCUGACAGUGGUGAAGCUGCUGGAUAGAGCUGGGCAUAUCAUCAGGGGAUUGCAGAUUCCAGGGGCUGGAGUAGAAGCAGACUCUUUUGUAGCUUCAGCCAUGGCCCACACGGUGCCCUGGGGAGAGACUCAGGAUUGGCUGCUAGAAGUGUCUCUAAAAGCUCAGUAACAGAGGUAGACCUGAGGACUUCAGUUCCAUGGUGUCAGUGUGUCCUGCUCUCCAGGAGAUGCUGUGAAAUGUUAAGUAAGGAACUCGAAGCACCUAGCACAGAAAACUCACUUUGGAGCCCUGAUCCAUCACAUAAGAAAUGCAGCUGUUCUGAAGCCUCCAUGCCUCUCCCCAACACCAUAGAUGGGAAAUUCUCCAAAGAAGGAAAAACUGGCUUUGGAAGAGAAUGGUCAUUACCCAGGAACUUCAUUUUGAUGUGACAUCCUCUGUUCUGGAUACAGGCACACGAUGGGCACUGGUCCUUCGGCAGUUUAUUAUUUGACAACUGGUGAUAAUCCAAGACUCAGACUUCUGCUGGUGCUCUCCCCCACUGCCCAUCUGUCUGCAUUCCAAUGUCCAUUACCAUCAUCCCCAGAGGUCAGCCCAGAAAAUUGUGCAACCAGCCUUGGUGAGGAACAAAGUCGGGGUGGCUAAGAUGAGUGCUUCCAAAGGCAGUUGAUGGCCUACGAGGAGCUUUGUCAGCAUCCACAGAGGCAUUGACCCAAAGUAGACAUAAUGAUUUCUCCAAAAUGCACACAUUGUGGGUGCCAAUGAGCCAGUGUUAUUCUUACUUCUCUU
Molecule: long non-coding RNA, 992 nt
Organism: Canis lupus familiaris (dog)
Lineage: Eukaryota; Metazoa; Chordata; Mammalia; Carnivora; Canidae
Exons: 5
Source: RefSeq, a predicted model, not a curated record